AUACAGAGGGUGCAAGCGUUAAUCGGAAUGACUGGGCGUAAAGAGCUCGUAGGCGGUAAGAUGUGUCACAGGUGAAAUCCCCGGGCUUAACCUGGGAACUGCCUGUGAAACUGUCUGACUAGAAUAUAAGAGAGGUAAGUGGAAUUUCCGGUGUAGCGGUGAAAUGCGUAGAUAUCGGAAAGAACACCAGUGGCGAAGGCGACUUACUGGCUUAAUAUUGACGCUGAGGAGCGAAAGCGUGGGGAGCAAACAGGAUUAGAUACCCUGGUAGUCCACGCUGUAAACGAUGAGAACUAGAUGCUUGUCAACCAAGGUUGAUGGGUGUUGAAGCAAACGCAUUAAGUUCUCCGCCUGGGGAGUACGGCCGCAAGGUUAAA
Molecule: ribosomal RNA, 377 nt
Filed under: uncultured bacterium
Lineage: Bacteria
Description: bacterial SSU rRNA
Rfam family: Bacterial small subunit ribosomal RNA
Source: RNAcentral